Molecule: transfer RNA, 21 nt
Filed under: Dolichovespula sylvestris
Lineage: Eukaryota; Metazoa; Arthropoda; Insecta; Hymenoptera; Vespidae
Description: partial tRNA-Leu
Source: RNAcentral
GAUUUUAUUCUUUUAUUAUAA